UUAACUUCAAGGACAAGAACAAGUAAGUCAUGCGAUGCGAUCCACAGAGAGUUGGCGAGAGCUGUGAGCCAAUGUUCGGCGCAUGAUUGAACUCCUCUUCGAGAAGCUCAGCUGAACCGGAAGUAAGCUGAGACGGUUUUCCACCGUUAUUUGGAAAUCACGUCUUCAUCACGUGAGCAGAGCGCAUAAUGCCUCAGCACAAUUCCUGAGCGCUUUAUGAACAUGGGUGGUAUCGCGGAAUUAAUCCGUCCCUUAC
RNAcentral lists this non-coding RNA (256 nucleotides) under Paenibacillus sp. RNAcentral's name for it is "T-box sequence". It matches the Rfam family "T-box leader". From Rfam's summary of the family: Uncharged tRNA acts as the effector for transcription antitermination of genes in the T-box leader family. Lineage: Bacteria; Bacillati; Bacillota; Bacilli; Caryophanales; Paenibacillaceae. The record is from RNAcentral.